RNAcentral lists this ribosomal RNA (465 nucleotides) under Vreelandella stevensii. RNAcentral's name for it is "partial 16S ribosomal RNA". It matches the Rfam family "Bacterial small subunit ribosomal RNA", at positions 338 to 795 of the family's 1533-position model. The record is from RNAcentral. Lineage: Bacteria; Pseudomonadati; Pseudomonadota; Gammaproteobacteria; Oceanospirillales; Halomonadaceae.
CCUACGGGAGGCAGCAGUGGGGAAUAUUGGACAAUGGGCGAAAGCCUGAUCCAGCCAUGCCGCGGGUGUGAAGAAGGCCUUCGGGUUGUAAAGCACUUUCAGUGGGGAAGAAAGCCUUGGGGCUAAUACCCUCGAGGAAGGACAUCACCCACAGAAGAAGCACCGGCUAACUCCGUGCCAGCAGCCGCGGUAAUACGGAGGGUGCGAGCGUUAAUCGGAAUUACUGGGCGUAAAGCGCGCGUAGGCGGUCUGAUAAGCCGGUUGUGAAAGCCCCGGGCUCAACCUGGGAACGGCAUCCGGAACUGUCAGGCUAGAGUGCAGGAGAGGAAGGUAGAAUUCCCGGUGUAGCGGUGAAAUGCGUAGAGAUCGGGAGGAAUACCAGUGGCGAGGGCGGCCUUCUGGACUGACACUGACGCUGAGGUGCGAAAGCGUGGGUAGCAAACAGGAUUAGAUACCCCUGUAGUC